This 424-nucleotide ribosomal RNA is filed under the name uncultured bacterium. Its description in RNAcentral is "bacterial SSU rRNA". It matches the Rfam family "Bacterial small subunit ribosomal RNA", at positions 359 to 776 of the family's 1533-position model. The record is from RNAcentral.
GAAUUGUUCGCAAUGGGCGCAAGCCUGACGACGCAACGCCGCGUGGAGGAUGAAGGUCUUCGGAUUGUAAACUCCUGUUGCUCGGGACGAAUGGCUCCAACCUAACACGUUGGAGUGUGACGGUACCGAGUGAGGAAGCCCCGGCUAACUCCGUGCCAGCAGCCGCGGUAAUACAGAGGGGGCUAGCGUUGUUCGGAAUUACUGGGCGUAAAGGGCGCGUAGGCGGCCUUCUAAGUCGAACGUGAAAUCCCCGGGCUCAACCCGGGAACUGCGUCCGAUACUGGAGGGCUCGAAUCCGGGAGAGGGAUGUGGAAUUCCAGGUGUAGCGGUGAAAUGCGUAGAUAUCUGGAGGAACACCGGUGGCGAAGGCGGCAUCCUGGACCGGUAUUGACGCUGAGGCGCGAAAGCCAGGGGAGCAAACGGG